AUGAGACACAGUUCAAUCAACGCCCUCAGACAGCCUAGAAACCUGAAGAUCAACUGAACGUUUGUUCAGACACGUUCCUCUUAAAGGAUCAGAAACAUGGAGAAAGUUUGCGUCCUGUUUGUUGGAUUUCUGUGUUUUUCUGUGGGACAAUCGAGCACUACUGUUGAUCCUACAACAACAGAAACAACAUCAACUCCACCAACAGACUACUGGACAAUGACUUCUGCACCAUCAACUCAGCAACCUGGCCCUUCAGUAAUUACUGGCUUGAGAAUUAAUGUCAAAUCUCUGGUUGAUCUGUCCAGUAACUCACCUGAGAUGGAGCUACUUGUGCGUCAGAUUGAAACGUUCAUUCCUUCCCAACACAAAGCAACAACGUCCAUUACUGUGAGAAGCAUAAAGAAAGGCUCCAGAACUUCUUAGAAACAUUCAUUUAUUGUAAGCUUGUAUUCAUGCUUUAGUAGGGUCAGAUAAAUUGUCAUGACUAUGGUAUACUUGUGUAGUUUUAUCAGAGCACAUACAUGAAUGUGAUUUUUUUUCUUUGGUUAUAAAGUUCUUUAAAUCAGCAGUAGUGUCAUGGUACAGCAAGGCACAACUUUAAGAUUAAUUGUUGUUAAUGAAAUACUAUUAAGCUCUGAGUCUGGACAGCAAAUAAACAGGUUUUGCGUUCAUUUUAUUUAUAUAUUCUAUAUGUAAUAUUUUGACUGUACUAAAUCAGAAAACUACCAUAAUAUCUUUGCACAGAUAUUUAGGAAACAUGCUACGUUCACAUACUUUUGUCUCCAAUAAACAAUGCUAGACAGUUGCGUGUCCUCGAUCUGGCAACCUGCAUGAGUGUCUAGUCUGAGGAGGAGAGACGGGAGAAACAACUCUUAAAUAUUUAGAAUUUGGACUGCAGUACCCAUUCUAACGUUAGCUGUCAAUAUCACAUACUGCUCCUUUAAUAGAUCUCAGUCUCUUAGUGAAUAGUGAAGUGACAUGUGGUCAAGUAUGGUGACCCAUACUCUGAAUUAGUGCUCUGCAUUUAUCCCAUCCAAAGUGCACACACACAGCAGUGAACGCACACGCACACGCACGCACACGCACGCAC
This is a long non-coding RNA of Sinocyclocheilus grahami, 1090 nucleotides long. The record is from Ensembl. NCBI's taxonomy places the organism in Eukaryota, Metazoa, Chordata, Actinopteri, Cypriniformes, Cyprinidae.